AAAUCGUGUUUCGGCACGAGUUGUAGAGUGUAGGCGGGAGUCUCUGUGGAGCGCGGUGUCCAAGUCCCUUGGAACAGGGUGCCUGAGAGGGUGAGAGCCCCGUAGGGUGCUGCGCGAAGCUUUUGAGGCCCUGCUGACGAGUCGAGUUGUUUGGGAAUGCAGCUCCAAGCGGGUGGUAAAUUCCAUCUAAGGCUAAAUAUUGGCGAGAGACCGAUAGCGAACAAGUACUGUGAAGGAAAGAUGAAAAGCACUUUGAAAAGAGAGUGAAACAGCACGUGAAAUUGUUGAAAGGGAAGGGUAUUGGGCUCGACAUGGGGGGUGCGCACCGCUGUCUCUUGUAGGCGGCGCUCUGGGCGCCCUCUGGGCCAGCAUCGGUUCCUGCUGCGGGAGAAGGGGCUCCGGAAAGUGGCUCUUCGGAGUGUUAUAGCCGGGGCCAGAUGCCGCGUGUGGGGACCGAGGACUGCGGCUUCUGUCUCGGAUGCUGGCAUAACGGCGCAAUACCGCCCGUCUUGAA
This 514-nucleotide ribosomal RNA is filed under the name Penicillium chrysogenum. Its description in RNAcentral is "eukaryotic LSU rRNA". It matches the Rfam family "Eukaryotic large subunit ribosomal RNA", at positions 118 to 658 of the family's 3401-position model. Lineage: Eukaryota; Fungi; Ascomycota; Eurotiomycetes; Eurotiales; Aspergillaceae. RNAcentral also lists the same sequence under 1 other name. The record is from RNAcentral.